CCUACGGGUGGCAGCAGUGAGGAAUAUUGGUCAAUGGACGAGAGUCUGAACCAGCCAAGUAGCGUGAAGGAUGACUGCCCUAUGGGUUGUAAACUUCUUUUAUAAAGGAAUAAAACGAGGCACGUGUGCCUUUUUGCAUGUACUUGAUGAAUAAGGAUCGGCUAACUCCGUGCCUGCAGCCGCGGUAAUACGGAGGAUCCGAGCGUUAUCCGGAUUUAUUGGGUGUAAAGGGAGCGUAGAUGGGUUGUUAAGUCAGGUGUGAAAGGUUGCGGCUCAACCGGAAAAUUGCAAUUGAUACUGGCAGUCUUGAGUACAGUUGGGGUAGGCGGAAUUCGUGGUGUAGCGGUGAAAUGCGUAGAUAUCACGAGGAACCCCGAUUGCGAAGGCAGCUUACUAGACUGUGACUGACAUUGAUGCUCGAAAGUGUGGGUAUCAAACAGGAUUAGAUACCCCUGUAGUC
This 460-nucleotide ribosomal RNA is filed under the name uncultured bacterium. RNAcentral describes it as "partial 16S ribosomal RNA". It matches the Rfam family "Bacterial small subunit ribosomal RNA", at positions 338 to 795 of the family's 1533-position model. The record is from RNAcentral.